Pelobates cultripes (western spadefoot toad) is the source of this 158-nucleotide non-coding RNA. Lineage: Eukaryota; Metazoa; Chordata; Amphibia; Anura; Pelobatidae. The record is from the annotation of a GenBank genome assembly.
AAACCAAAGACCCAUUGAGGGUACAACCUCACUUAAAGAAGUGCUUUGAAGGGAUAGCUAAGCUGGACUUCACUGAAGAUAUGGAAAUCACCGGUAUAGUCAGCUCAGAGAGAGAAACAGUUCCUUUAAUUCAGAAAAUCUUUCCGGCUAAAGCAAAA